Molecule: ribosomal RNA, 921 nt
Filed under: Betta taeniata
Lineage: Eukaryota; Metazoa; Chordata; Actinopteri; Anabantiformes; Osphronemidae
Description: partial 16S ribosomal RNA
Rfam family: Bacterial large subunit ribosomal RNA (bases 157-659)
Source: RNAcentral
UUAUUAAUACCCCUAAAAGCACUUAUAUCAGACUAAACAAACCAUUUUUCCCCCUAAGUAUGGGCGACAGAAAAGGAACAUUCAGAGCUAUAGAAAAAGUACCGCAAGGGAAUGCUGAAAAAGAAGUGAAACAACUCAGUAAAGUUUAAAAAAGCAGAGAUUUACCCUCGUACCUUUUGCAUCAUGAUUUAGUCAGUAAAAAACAGGCAAAAGGUACUUUAGUCUGUCUUCCCGAAACUAAGUGAGCUACUCCAAGACAGCCUAAAAUAGGGCUAACCCGUCUCUGUGGCAAAAGAGUGGGGCGAGCUUAGAGUAGAGGUGAUAAACCUACCGAACUUAGUUAUAGCUGGUUGCCUGAGAAAUGAGUAGAAGUUCAGCUUUUUGGUUUCUUCCUCCAACCCGCUUAGCUACUACCGAACCAGAGAAACCAAAAAAGUUAGUUAAAGGGGGUACAGCUCCUUUAAACAAGAUACAACUUCACCAGCCGGGUAAAGAUCAUAUAUAACCAAGGUAAGAUGUUUUAGUGGGCCUAAAAGCAGCCAUCUAUAAGAAAGCGUCAAAGCUCCUUCAUACCACUACCCCCAAAUUCAGAUAAUACAUCCUAAACCCGCUAAUUUUAUCAAGCCGCCCCAUGCUGCCAUGGGGGUGAUUAUGCUAAAAUGAGUAAUAAGAAAAGCCACCUUUUCUCCUCGCACUCGUGUAAAUCGAAACGGACCCCCCAUCGAACAUUAACCGGCCCCAAAAAAAGAGGGUAAUGAAUUAUCAACCCUAAUAACAAGAAAAGCACCCAAAUAUUAACCGUUAACCUCACACUAGUGUGCUUACAAGGAAAGACUAAAAGAAAAAGAAGGAACUCGGCAAAUACAAGCCUCGCCUGUUUACCAAAAACAUCGCCUCUUGAAAACUAAAUAUAAGAGGUCC